This 497-nucleotide ribosomal RNA is filed under the name uncultured bacterium. RNAcentral's name for it is "partial 16S ribosomal RNA". It matches the Rfam family "Bacterial small subunit ribosomal RNA", at positions 28 to 507 of the family's 1533-position model. The record is from RNAcentral.
GAUGAACGCUGGCGGCGUGCCUAAUACAUGCAAGUCGAGCGAACGGACGAGAAGCUUGCUUCUCUGAUGUUAGCGGCGGACGGGUGAGUAACACGUGGAUAACCUACCUAUAAGACUGGGAUAACUUCGGGAAACCGGAGCUAAUACCGGAUAAUAUUUUGAACCGCAUGGUUCAAAAGUGAAAGACGGUCUUGCUGUCACUUAUAGAUGGAUCCGCGCUGCAUUAGCUAGCUGGUAAGGUAACGGCUUACCAAGGCAACGAUGCAUAGCCGACCUGAGGGGGUGAUCGGCCACACUGGAACUGAGACACGGUCCAGACUCCUACGGGAGGCAGCAGUAGGGAAUCUUCCGCAAAGGGCGAAAGCCUGACGGAGCAACGCCGCGUGAGUGAUGAAGGUCUUCGGAUCGUAAAACUCUGUUAUUAGGGAAGAACAUAUGUGUAAGUAACUGUGCACAUCUUGACGGUACCUAAUCAGAAAGCCACGGCUAACUACGUG